This 352-nucleotide unclassified non-coding RNA is filed under the name soil metagenome. RNAcentral describes it as "partial contains 5.8S ribosomal RNA, internal transcribed spacer 2, and large subunit ribosomal RNA". The stretch from base 5 to 122 matches the Rfam family "5.8S ribosomal RNA", at positions 38 to 154 of the family's 154-position model. The record is from RNAcentral.
GAUGGAAGAACGUAGCGAAAUGCGAUAAGUAAUGCGAAUUGCAGAAUUUCCGUGAGUCAUCGAAUCUUUGAACGCACAUUGCGCCCAUUGGUAUUCCGAUGGGCAUGCCUGUUCGAGCGUCAUUAUCCCCCCUCAAGCCUUCGGUUUGGUGUUGGACCCAUGUUGUGUAAUGAACAACUGGUCUCAAAGACAAUGACGGCGUCCGUGGGACCCUCGAUGCAACGAGCUUUUAAGGAGCAAGCGUCGAUUUUGUUAGGACCCUCCGGGCCCGCCUCCCUACAGUAUUUACUCAGGUUGACCUCGGAUCAGGUAGGAAUACCCGCUGAACUUAAGCAUAUCAAUAAGCGGAGGA